RNAcentral lists this long non-coding RNA (990 nucleotides) under Sorghum bicolor (sorghum). RNAcentral describes it as "long non-coding RNA (SBIC_LNC011552)". Lineage: Eukaryota; Viridiplantae; Streptophyta; Magnoliopsida; Poales; Poaceae. The record is from RNAcentral.
GAAAAUAUUCAUUAUAGUGAAUAUCCCAAAAUUUCAAAUUUAUUAUAGUUAUUAAAAAAUUUACAUGCACACAUACAAGUUGUUACAGUGAUUUUUUUCAUAAUGAUAAACAUAAAAAAGUGAAGUUUUUUGAAUCGCAGAAAGUUACAGUGGCACUAGAGGAGAGAAUGAAUUUUUUGAUGUAUUUAUAAUUGAGGGCAAAAUCAUAUUUUUCACUAGACUUUAAGUACCGUUACAUGCAAAAUUAACAGAAGUGGCACACAGGUAAAAAAACUUCAAAUAAAGGAUAUUUAUAGACUUUUUAAAUUUUUAAUGGUACGUAGAUCAUUUCUAUCUUUUAUAAUGGCACAUAGGUAAAAAGGUCUAAGACUCCACCACUAUGCAUGGCAACGGGGCUAUCCCCGACGGAUUUGGCCAGAACGUUUUGGUCCCCGUUAGUAGGAAAAUCCCCCGCUCCCUGUCCCUGUCCCCGCUCGUGGGGUCCCCGUCCCCGCACGGGUAUCACAGCCCCGAUGGGGUUCCCGUCCCCGAUAAACACAAGGCAUCCAACAUCAAUACAUCAUGAAAAGAAAGAAAAAUUGGACAUAACAACACUGCAGCCGCCCUUGGAUCCCUUUCUUAGAUCCGUCAAUAACUUGAUUUCUGUACUGGCCCGGCGCUCAUGGAGGAACUGAGGAAGAGCCGAAGAGGUGCUUCACGACCUCACGGCCAUCACUCAUGGAGAUCGGAAGUUCCGUAGGCGCCAAGGGUCGCAGCAAUAGUAGAGGAGGCGAGGAGCGCAGGGGUCGCGCAUGGAGAAGGAAGAGGGUUGCGACUGCGAGCGUGGAGCAGAGAGGGAGGAGCGCCGACGGUCACGCCUUGCUCCUUCUGGGUGGAGAGUCGGAGAGGGAGGUCGCGAGGGAGGAGGGGGAGGAGCAGAGAGGGAGCAGAGAGGGAGGAGGGGGAACCAGCGACGGCGGCUGGACUGAAUGGAGAAGUACAUGCUAGGGU